Molecule: non-coding RNA, 593 nt
Organism: Paramuricea clavata
Lineage: Eukaryota; Metazoa; Cnidaria; Anthozoa; Malacalcyonacea; Plexauridae
Source: the annotation of a GenBank genome assembly
GGACCACGGAGGUGACCAGAUAUGCGAAAAAACAUGGUGUCAACUUUAUAGUGAAGUCUUCCAUUUUCAUAUGACACGAUCUCUACUCCCUUCUUAAACGACGACACGGGUGUCCGUGGUGUAAUCUCCCAGCCAGGCGGAUAAUCAAAAUCGGGCAAGGGUAUUUUGUUCAAGCAGACAAACUUUAGAGUAUUCUUUAACUCUUGAACAGUUGUUGUUGGAGAGACUUGCUUGGUGAAAUGAAUGGAGAAAUAAUUUUGUUUCCCUGCUCAGGAACUGAGAUGUGUCUAAACGUAGGACCAUGUUCUAAACGUCCAAAGAAGUCCUGCUCUACUAAACCAUUUGAAGGUGUAUCUGCCGUGAACUUUAUUUCAAUUGUAUUAUUUCUGGCUUUCAACCAGUCUUUAACGCUUGAUUCAAUGGCUUUGCAUGUAUUCUCACGCUCUAGAUCUGUAGCCAUAUUUUUUCUAAACAUUCAACAAAAUGACACAUAUUUUUAGGAUAAAAAACUAGCACCAUGUACAGACUAUGUUAUAUGUUAAAUACCGAGAUUUUGUUGGCAUCUCAAUCGAUUGAAUACCAGUUAAUUAAAG